UUGACCGUACCGCAAACCGACACAGGUGGGCAGGAUGAAAAUUCUAAGGCGCUUGAGAGAACUCAGGAGAAGGAACUCGGCAAAUUAACACCGUAACUUCGGGAGAAGGUGUGCCCCGGUAGCGUGUAGAGACUUGCUCUCGAAGCGCGAUGGGGUUGCAGUGAAAUGGUGGCUGCGACUGUUUAAUAAAAACACAGCACUCUGCAAACACGAAAGUGGACGUAUAGGGUGUGACGCCCGCCCGGUGCCGGAAGGUUAAGUGAUGGGGUGCAAGCUCUUGAUCGAAGCCCCGGUAAACGGCGGCCGUAACAAUAACGGUCCUAAGGUAGCGAAAUUCCUUGUCGGGUAAGUUCCGACCUGCACGAAUGGCGUAACGAUGGCCACACUGUCUCCUCCUGGGACUCAGCGAAGUUGAAAUGUUUGUGAAGAUGCAAUCUACCCGCGGCUAGACGGAAAGACCCCACGAACCUUUACUGUAGCUUUGCAUUGGACUUUGAACCGGUUUGUGUAGGAUAGGUGGGAGACUGUGAAGCCGGGACGCUAGUUUCGGUGGAGUCAACCUUGAAAUACCACCCUGAUUUGUUUGAGGUUCUAACCUUGGUCCGUGAAUCCGGAUCGGGGACCGUGCAUGGUAGGCAGUUUGACUGGGGCGGUCUCCUCCCAAAAGGUAACGGAGGAGUACGAAGGUACGCUUAGGGCGGUCGGACAUCGCCCACAAAGUGCAAUGGCAAAAGCGUGCUUGACUGCGAGACCCACAAGUCGAGCAGGUACGAAAGUAGGUCAUAGUGAUCCGGUGGUUCUGUAUGGAAGGGCCAUCGCUCAACGGAUAAAAGGUACUCUGGGGAUAACAGGCUAAUUCCUCCCAAGAGUUCAUAUCGACGGGGGAGUUUGGCACCUCGAUGUCGGCUCAUUACAUCCUGGGGCUGUAGUCGGUCCCAAGGGUAUGGCUGUUCGCCAUUUAAAGUGGUACGCGAGCUGGGUUUAAAACGUCGUGAGACAGUUUGGUCCCUAUCUGCCGUGGGCGCUGGAAAUUUGAAGGGGGCUGCUCCUAGUACGAGAGGACCGGAGUGGACGAACCUCUGGUGUACCGGUUAUGACGCCAGUCGUAUCGCCGGGUAGCUAAGUUCGGAAGAGAUAAACGCUGAAAGCAUCUAAGCGUGAAACUCGCCUUAAGAUAAGAUUUCCCGGAGUCUUGAACUCCCUGAAGGGUCGUCGAAGACCACGACGUUGAUAGGUCAGGUGUGGAAGCGCAGCAAUGCGUUAAGCUAACUGAUACUAAUUGCCCGUGCGGCUUGAUCCC
RNAcentral lists this ribosomal RNA (1300 nucleotides) under metagenome. Its description in RNAcentral is "bacterial LSU rRNA". It matches the Rfam family "Bacterial large subunit ribosomal RNA", at positions 1638 to 2925 of the family's 2925-position model. The record is from RNAcentral.